Long non-coding RNA from Drosophila yakuba, 3100 nucleotides. RefSeq lists it as uncharacterized. The record is from RefSeq and is a predicted model, not a curated record. NCBI's taxonomy places the organism in Eukaryota, Metazoa, Arthropoda, Insecta, Diptera, Drosophilidae. The transcript is spliced from 2 exons.
ACACAGAUACUGAGAGACAAACACAGGCGCAGAUAGAGAUACAACUACAGAUAGGGAAAAGUAUCUGCUACUGCUGGUGGCUUUACAGCCUCAAUAGUUGGCUGCUAUUUGAAUAAGUAUUUUUCAUUGAAUUUCGUUUCGUUGUGGGAGUGAGAGUGUCAGAGUGAGAGAAGAGGGAAAAAACUAGUAAUUAAGAUGCACGAGGCAAACGGCGGAAGCGAAAAGAUGGCGAACCUCUGCUCAAAUUGUGGGCGGCAUCGUGGGAGGGGGCGUGGCAUGGAAAAGCUCGACGCCCGUUUCACAUGAACAAUUCGUGGCGAUAAUUUAUAGAAUAAAUGAAAUACACUUCAUGGCUACACACACAAAAAAAAGAAGAAGAAAAAUAUAAAACGAAUACUAUAUACUCGUACUAGAAAAAAAAAACUACCUCCGGCGGCGAACAAGUCCGUUCCGUAAUUAAUCUAUCUGCGGUUUUUGACGUGCUUUGAAUAGUCCCAGCGAUUAUGGCUCGCUGAUCAUCAUCAUCAGCAUUAACAUCAAAAUCAACAUCAACAUCAAAAUCAACAUCUCAGCUCAGCUCAGCUCAACUGAACUCAUCAUUGUGUGGGCUUACCACAAAAGGUACCGAGCUUAUUAGAUGCCACCUUCUUUUGACUUAUGACAAAACAACAAAAGUGCGCACAUAUAUACUAAUAAACGACGCGACAGCCAAAAGAAUGCAACUUAAUUUGUAUGCCAAAAAAUAUGAUAAUAAAACGACCCAAAACAAAACGAAGCAUAACCAAACGAAACGAAACGAAAGAAGCGACAAGUCAAACAAAAAGUUGAGCACCCAACAAAGGAACAUCAGACAGCGAAAUGUCUGCGAGUAUCUCGGACUCGAACUCGAACUCGGGGACUCGGACUCGGAUUCAGAACCAGACUCGUAUUCGGACUUCAAAUGAAAUCAAAAGUGCAAAUGACAACAAAAGGCAGGAAUGGGGGGACUCAGGUUUACGGGCAGGCCGAGUCUGAAGAAGAUUGAAGCACAGAGGGAAGGGCAGGCGGCUGGUUAAUGAGAGCCAGCAAAAAAAACUCAGAUACAAGUACAAUACCACGGCGCAGAGGAACCAGCGGAGAAAAUCAUUUUCGAGGUGGCACUGGACGAUACUUAUUGAUUAGCAUAUGGCGAAUGUUGAUUGGAUAGGGUUCGACUGAAAUAUACUCCAGUUCUGACAUUUCCUUUUUCAGACCAGCACUCCACCAUUUUGCUUGGUAAAUAGCAAUGAUUGGUUUUCAGUUACAUAAGGCAGAAAACAAUAGAAGACAAAUAAAUAAACAGUUUGGAUUUUAAAGGUAUUGUAGCAACUUAAGACAGCUUUUGUUCGAAAUUCAGUUUAUUUGAACAACUGAAGAUCGUUUCUUUAAACACGUUUUUCGCUCAAAUACAUCCGACAGUUCUUAUAAACCAAAGUUGGUUGAUAUGGUAUUGUUAGUAGAUUUACUUAAAAAUAAAAAUAUUCUGCGAUUUUAAGAACCCUCCACUUGUACAGGGUAGCACAGCAAAAUGUAUAUCAUCGUGUGCAAAAUGUGAAGACAAACCAGCAGCACCAACAAAAAAGCCAGCGCCAAUAAUCAAUUGGAGUGUCUGUCUUGGGUUUUAUUUUUUCGGGGCGUUAAUGGGAGGUGGUGGGGAGGUUUGGUGCUGCUCUUGGUGGCUCGGUGGCUCGGUGGUUCUGCUGUGGCUCGGUGUGGUUAGUUACCGCCAGCGGCGGCCGCAUAAAGUGGAAGACAAGUGGCGGCAUGGACAAGUGCCAUAGAAAUUGCGAUUGUCUGUGGGUGGGUGGGUGUGUGUGAGUUUGUGUGUGUGUGAGUGUGGGGAUUGCACAAGAGCCAAAUGAAAAGAACGCAAUGCAAACGCAAGAUACCAAAAAAGCAAUAGCAAAAGCUAAGAGAAUCCAAAGCAGAAGCACAAGCACAAGCAGAACAAGAAGAGGAUGGAAGGCAAAGGCACAACACUCAAGCACGCACUUCAGACGCAAAAGAGACGGACGGAGUGCCAAACGGACGGACAGCGCGGACGGACAGCGGCACAACGCAACAAGAACCGCCGGACGGGCCAACUUCAGAUACUCUUCUGGCAUUCCCCAAAAUGACAUUCAACUUACUGUACCCCAUUUGGAAAAGGGUAUCAAAGAGAUAUAGACAAGGCACAGGCUAUUUUAUAGCUGCUUGCUGAUGAAUGACUUGGGCGGUUUGCUCUCAAGGAGGCGGGGCUACGGGGCGUCAGGUGCGGAAAUGUCAUUUGAGCCAUUCGAUUCGAUGACGGUAUGGAUGGUGAUAAUGAUAUGGAUGAUGAUGAUGAUGAUGAAGACGAUGACGAACUACGUCCAUCCACGAGCUCUUGUUGUGCACGUUCCAUCGUUGCGAGUUCCAACCAUUACACAUACGAACUUUCAAUAGUACAAAAGUACGAAGAGAACAAAAUCCAUGAGGAGGAGCACAGUCACCCACCAGUUAGCAGUUCAAGUGUUUUUCCAGAAGCAGAACAAUGGAGGUGGAAGAAGCAGCAGCAGCAGCAGCAGCAGCGGCAAGUAAUGCAAACAAAUUUUGAGAUACGAGUACGAAGAGUUAAUGAAAUUAUGUAAUUGAAGCGACGGACUUUUGAUGAUAAAGAGUAACAAGUAGGUAGUAGCAAUAUAGAGAGCAAAUUUAGUUAUUUAAUAACAAAACAAAAGGUUGUAAAGGUUGUAUUCCGAUGGAGUGAUAAUAUUUUAAUAUAUCGAAUAUUUAAUGAGCAAAAUACGUACUAACAGUUCACUCAAUGCCAAAUCUCGGAGCACUCAAGAACAGAUAAAGGCAAUUCAAUAAUUCACUUCCACCAGCGCAAUUAACGCGCUGAAAACAUUCGCAAUGUCAACGCGAGACUUGGCUGCAAUCCAUCAAAUCGAAAGAUUCAGUGCGAGCAAACUGAAGAAACAGUAGAGAUCGGUUGGAAAUGGAGAGGGGCAAAGCAGAUAAGUAUAAACUUCCCAUAAUAGCGCUAAUUGUAUGAUAUUUAAAGUUGAUUAUUAAGCUGCCACUCAGAGAGCAAAUAAAGCGCAUUUAACAAUAAAACAAU